RNAcentral lists this ribosomal RNA (351 nucleotides) under uncultured Glomeromycotina. Its description in RNAcentral is "LSU rRNA". The record is from RNAcentral. Lineage: Eukaryota; Fungi; Glomeromycota.
CCGCCGACACGGGUAACAACCUUUUUUGAGGCGUAAUUUUGGAUUUUGAAAAGUUUAAACCUUCGGGUUCAAAUAUUUGCGCUUUUUAGGGGUAAUUUCUCGUUCGGUAGGUUAACAUCGAUUUUGAACAUUAUAAAAUGAUCGGAGGAAUGUAGCUUCGAUCUCGUAUUGAAGUGUUAUAGCCUUUGGUAGAUGUAAUGAUCGAGAUCGAGGAUUGCAACGAAUACCCUUUUGGGCUAUCCGUCUGAUCUCUGAUACGUUGCCUCGGUAACGAAAGCGUGCUUACGGUAUUGAGGUAUUACGGUCAAAAGGUUAGAACGUGAUUACAUUCGUUAAGGAUGUUGACGUAAA